RNAcentral lists this microRNA precursor (200 nucleotides) under Oryza barthii. RNAcentral describes it as "MIR812 microRNA precursor family". It matches the Rfam family "MIR812 microRNA precursor family". The record is from Rfam by way of RNAcentral. Lineage: Eukaryota; Viridiplantae; Streptophyta; Magnoliopsida; Poales; Poaceae.
AAAUAGUGUAGUUUUAUAUUGUUUAUGUCCAAUAUUUGACCAUUUAUUUUAUUAGAAAUUUUUUAUAAUAAAUAUUUUUUAUUACAUGAUAAAAUAUGAAUAGUACUUUAUGUGUGACUAUUUUUUAAUAAUAAAAAUAUAUAUUUUUUUAAAUAAGACGGACUGUCAGGUUAGACACGAUAUAUACGGUUGCACUUGUA